AUUUUCAUUGAUUUUAUCUAUGUUUUAGGUAUAGGAUUUUGAGUCUUUAUGUUAUUUCUCGAGUCUUUUUAGUGUCUUUUCAGGUAUUCUAUGCAGUGGGACAACAAUGGAGAUGAGGAGACAUUUUGGAGCAAAAGUUAAGGAAAAGGAAGCUAAGGACGAUUUUCAGUUCCACAUUCAGAGGAGUGUCGAUCGACACACUCUUGUUCUCGAUCGACCUAGUUUCAGCCCAGCAAAGUCCAUGACGCUUUCAUGUUUACAGAAAAGGAAAUUUGCCCCAGAAGACUUCCCUAUUUGCAUUAUUAGUCCAUGGACGUUUUAUAAGUUUUUUAUAUUGUUUUUAGACCUAAGUUCUCUUUUAUCAAGUUUUUU
Molecule: small RNA, 372 nt
Filed under: Arabidopsis thaliana (thale cress)
Lineage: Eukaryota; Viridiplantae; Streptophyta; Magnoliopsida; Brassicales; Brassicaceae
Description: ATSL158280
Source: RNAcentral